CGGGGCGUGGCGCAGUCUGGUAGCGCACCUGCUUUGGGAGCAGGGGGCCGCUGGUUCGAAUCCAGUCGCCCCGACCA
Molecule: transfer RNA, 77 nt
Filed under: Alphaproteobacteria bacterium
Lineage: Bacteria; Pseudomonadati; Pseudomonadota; Alphaproteobacteria
Also listed under: 2 other names
Description: tRNA-Pro
Rfam family: tRNA
About the family: Transfer RNA (tRNA) molecules are approximately 80 nucleotides in length. Their secondary structure includes four short double-helical elements and three loops (D, anti-codon, and T loops).
Source: RNAcentral